This is a long non-coding RNA of Aethalodelphis obliquidens (Pacific white-sided dolphin), 457 nucleotides long. RefSeq lists it as uncharacterized. The record is from RefSeq and is a predicted model, not a curated record. The transcript has 3 exons. NCBI's taxonomy places the organism in Eukaryota, Metazoa, Chordata, Mammalia, Artiodactyla, Delphinidae.
AGUCUUAACCACUGGACUGCCAGGGAAGUCCCUGUAUAUUCUUCAAGGGAUUCCAGGCUAGUGCUGCUCGGUCCUGCUCAGCCUGUUCUCUGUGUCAGCCCAGCCAUGGCACUCUUCUGCCCUUCCCUUAUCCUGGUUUCCUCAGUGAUGUUGAGCCCAAGUGCACUCCCUAAAAAACCUCCUGCCAACUAAUCUCCCAGUGAGUCUGCUUCCAAGGGAAUUCAACCUGUGACAAUGCUCAACAUCAGUAAUCAUCAGAAAAAUGCAAAUUAAAACCAUAAGGAGAUGCCAUUUUACAUCCACUAGGAGGGCUAAAAAAAGACAACACCAAAUGUUGGUGAAGAUGUGGAAAAACUGGAACCCUCAUAUAGUGCUGGUGGGAGUGUAAAAAGGUACCACCAUGUUGGAGAAUUGUUUGGCUAUUUCUUAUAAAAUUAAAUAUAUAUUUAACCCGUGA